Molecule: ribosomal RNA, 440 nt
Filed under: uncultured bacterium
Lineage: Bacteria
Description: partial 16S ribosomal RNA
Rfam family: Bacterial small subunit ribosomal RNA
Source: RNAcentral
CCUACGGGUGGCAGCAGUGGGGGAUAUUGCACAAUGGGGGAAACCCUGAUGCAGCGACGCCGCGUGAGUGAAGAAGUAUUUCGGUAUGUAACGCUCUAUCAGCAGGGAAGAAAAUGACAGUACCUGACCAAGAAGCCCCGGCUAACUACGUGCCAGCAGCCGCGGUAAUACGUAGGGGGCAAGCGUUAUCCGGAUUUACUGGGUGUAAAGGGCGCGUAGACGGUUAUGAAAGUCUGGAGUGAAAGCCCGGGGCCCAACCCCGGGACUGCUUUUGAAACUGUUGAACUGGAGUGCAGGAGAGGCAGGCGGAAUUCCUAGUGUAGCGGUGAAAUGCGUAGAUAUGAGGAGGAACACCAGUGGCGAAGGCGGCUUGCUGGACUGUAACUGACGUUGAGGCUCGAAAGCGUGGGGAGCAAACAGGAUUAGAUACCCCAGUAGUC